This 24-nucleotide non-coding RNA is filed under the name Arabidopsis thaliana (thale cress). Lineage: Eukaryota; Viridiplantae; Streptophyta; Magnoliopsida; Brassicales; Brassicaceae. The record is from RNAcentral.
AUUCGGCUGAACUAAAUUGGAUCA